Molecule: ribosomal RNA, 426 nt
Filed under: uncultured Chthoniobacter sp.
Lineage: Bacteria; Pseudomonadati; Verrucomicrobiota; Spartobacteria; Chthoniobacterales; Chthoniobacteraceae
Description: bacterial SSU rRNA
Rfam family: Bacterial small subunit ribosomal RNA
Source: RNAcentral
UCGAGAAUUUUUCUCAAUGGGGGAAACCCUGAAGGAGCGACGCCGCGUGGAGGAUGAAGGUCUUCGGAUUGUAAACUCCUGUCAUUGGUGAACAAGGCCGCCGGUUAACUGCCGGUUGGUUUGAUAGUAGCCGAAGAGGAAGAGACGGCUAACUCUGUGCCAGCAGCCGCGGUAAUACAGAGGUCUCAAGCGUUGUUCGGAUUCAUUGGGCGUAAAGGGUGCGUAGGCGGCGGGGCAAGUCUGAUGUGAAAUCCCGGGGCUCAACCCCGGAACUGCAUUGGAUACUGCUCUGCUAGAGUACUGGAGAGGAGACUGGAAUUUACGGUGUAGCAGUGAAAUGCGUAGAUAUCGUAAGGAAGACCAGUGGCGAAGGCGAGUCUCUGGACAGUUACUGACGCUGAGGCACGAAGGCCAGGGGAGCAAACG